RNAcentral lists this unclassified non-coding RNA (337 nucleotides) under soil metagenome. RNAcentral's name for it is "partial contains 5.8S ribosomal RNA, internal transcribed spacer 2, and large subunit ribosomal RNA". The stretch from base 1 to 120 matches the Rfam family "5.8S ribosomal RNA", at positions 35 to 154 of the family's 154-position model. The record is from RNAcentral.
GAUGAAGAACGUAGCGAAAUGCGAUAAGUAGUGUGAAUUGCAGAAUUCAGUGAAUCAUCGAAUCUUUGAACGCACAUUGCGCCCCUUGGUAUUCCAUGGGGCAUGCCUGUUCGAGCGUCAUUUGUACCUUCAAGCUUUGCUUGGUGUUGGGUGUUUGUCUCGCCUCCGCGUGUAGACUCGCCUCAAAACAAUUGGCAGCCGGCGUAUUGAUUUCGGAGCGCAGUACAUCUCGCGCUUUGCACUCACAACGACGACGUCCAAAAGUACAUUUUUACACUCUUGACCUCGGAUCAGGUAGGGAUACCCGCUGAUCUUAAGCAUAUCAAUAAGCGGAGGA